AGGGACCAUACGCACGAGCAGAGCAUCAGCUGUGGUGUGUCGGAGAGUGAGAAACUUCCCUCACUCCUCCUCUGCUUUCUUUCUCCCAAAUCCCCUUCGACACAUUUUAUGUAACUUCUCUCAGAAGCUGCAGCAGCUACCGGUGCCUCCAUCAACAGGCGGGUACUGGCUGGCUUUGUUUUAGUCCAACCUCUGGUCUAUCCGGACGCUCAGGAGGGUUUCCUGUCGGCUCGUCCAGGACACCGGGUGCAACUGGAGUGACUCCACCAAGUUUCUCCCCCAUUCUGCCUGAGGAAUGAGAGGACUGCCUGAGAGGAAGAGCCCAAACUCGCAUGUUUGAAUGAACAAAAGCACAGAAAGAAAGGAUAUUGCCGCCGAAAUGGAGGAAAAUACUCUACCAGCAGCAACAUCUCCCCUCUCAGAUCUCAACACAAACCCCGCCAGGCCUGACCCAGAGGGGGAGAGCAGCCCCCCGAAGAUGGACACCACCGAGACAAUGGAGUCUCCAGCGAAGAAAGACACAGACCGGAGACUGACUACACCCAUAAAAUCUGACGUCAUCCCUCGAUCACCCGGGUCACCUGCAUCUCCUGUCCCCAGGUUGAAAGGGGGUAAAGACAUCAUGAAGUCAGAGGACAGGCAGAAGCUUGCCAAGGAGCGGAGAGAGGAAAAGGCCAAAUAUCUUGGUAAGUAGAAACAAAGGGGCGGGAGGAGAAGCCCAUUACAUAUGAAGACAGCUCCCCCUAGUGGUGGGGUGGAAGUGGUUGUUGUUU
Molecule: long non-coding RNA, 773 nt
Filed under: Cottoperca gobio
Lineage: Eukaryota; Metazoa; Chordata; Actinopteri; Perciformes; Bovichtidae
Description: lncRNA (ENSCGOG00000014543.1)
Source: RNAcentral